GCCACGCACAGCACGUGAAGAAGAAAAAUAAACUGCUGUGUUAAAAAGACGACAAACUACUUCCGUUAUUUCCUGUUUUUCAGUUUAGGGGAAAAAAGGACAACGGAACACAUAAUGAAGGACAUACUUCGUUGAAGUGAACAUCCUGCAUCCCGACGUCCUCCAUCAUGGCUGCCUCUUCGUCAAUGUUUGGAGUGAUGACACGGAAUGCCGAGCAGCCAUGCCUGAACAUUCCUUCCACACAAAGAGAACGUGGGAAUCCCUGAAGGAGUACUCUCCAGGACUUCCUCUAAGGACUCCAAAAAAGUGUUCAACUUCGAUGUUCAGGCCCUGAAUAAAUUCCAGACCAUCUCAAGUGGACUGGUACUUGGACUUCUGUACAUCUAGAGGUGAAAUUCCACAUGCCAAGAUGUAGCUUCUGCAGCUGAGGUUCCCACCUUUGGACACCACGCAACCUUUUUGGCCCUUCCCAUGAUAUCAAUGGAGGAGAAUGUGCCAAGGGCUGUUAAACCACAAGUGAGAGGCCGCGAAUGGACCCCGGCCCACACUUUGGACACCCCUGCGCUAGGCUAUACAGAAUGUGCCAUUGGCUGUUAAACCACAAGCGACAGGCCGCGAAUGGACCCCGGCCCGCACUUUGGACACCCCUGUGCUAGGCUAUACAG
This is a non-coding RNA of Doryrhamphus excisus (bluestripe pipefish), 665 nucleotides long. The record is from RefSeq and is a predicted model, not a curated record. NCBI's taxonomy places the organism in Eukaryota, Metazoa, Chordata, Actinopteri, Syngnathiformes, Syngnathidae.